AGGGAUCUUGUAGGCUACAGAACAUUCCCCUCCUUACUUGUAAACCAACACUACCCUAUGUUGCAGGGGGCUCUUUCUUCACAGCCCUCAUACUGCUUAACCCUGAUGUCCAGCAAAGUCAAUGAGAGCUUUUUCCCUCAGAUCCAGUGGGGCUGUUGCCUGGAUUUCCUCCUAAUAAAUAAUCACACUUUGCUGGCAGCUAUCUCUACCAUUCAAGCAUGGCACUGAAAUGAAAGGAGCCCUUUUAGGAUAGAAACAGAAUUUGUCCCUUUCAAAGGAGUGGUUCAGUGAAUCAGAAUGGUUUGGGUUGGAAAGGGCCAAAAAGAUCAUCUUGUGCUCUGCAGAUAAUAUAGGGUGCAGGUUAUAGCAGGUGCUGAUUUCCCUGAUCCAGCAAAGCAUGCAAAGCCAGUGCUUCACACCUAUAGUCCCAUUCAUCUCCACCCAAGAUUAUUCUCAGCUGUUUCAGCCAUUCUGUAGCUAGAUACCUAGUCUGAGCUGGUCCUCUGGAAGAGGAGUUGGUUCCUACCAUCCCAAGAGAAGCAGCCAGAGCUCUGGGAGGUGCUUAUCUCAUGCCAGUGAUGGCAGAGGCACCUCACUCUGAGGAAGACAACAGCUGGUGUGGAUGGACCUACCUGAGAUUGCCAAUGCUGUUACCUCUUGUGGUCCUACAAGGAGAGAAACAACUCAGUGCAAGAAAAGCAAGUAAAAAGGAAAAAUUAGAGGGAAUUGCACAGAGACCACCAGCAGGCCUAGUUUCCAGCACUCAUCUUCACUUCCAGCUUCAUCUUUGUGCAGUGUGAGCACGGUGUGAAUCUGCAGCUCUGCUGGACCAAACACUACGCAUUCAUACAUGCGGGGCAACUACUUGAUCCCCCAGCAAGACAUGCAUCCUGCUGAAGUGUGUCACCCGUGGGCUCAGGCAGCUUUUGUUACAGACUGCCGUCACCCCUGGUUUGUACAGCUUCGGGCUGCCAGGGUGUGAGAAGCCAGCUAUCUCCUACAGCACUGCAAUGGCAAACACCAGGAUGGUUAUGGCCAUUCAGUGGGACUGCGACUGAGCCAUGGCUGGGCUGGAGGGAUGGCUGCAGAAAGAUGGCUUCACCUCAGCGAUCCCUAGCUAUUUAGAUUCCGCUACUGGGGACACUAAAAAGGAGCUGAUUUGCCAAGGUGCUGCUCAGAGGAUGGAGCUAUUUCAAGGUGCUUCUCUUGCUGUGUCACCACCACCUGGUGGCAUCGAUCUCCUCCCAGAUCUCAUCUUUUUGGUAAAUACCAAAAAAUUUUAUCAAUCACUCUGAUUUUAAACUCGGUGGAAAUGCCUUCAUUCAGUAAACCAAAUGAGCUUGUCCUCAAGCACAUGCUGAACUCCAUCACAUGUCAACAGACUAUGUAAUCCCACUGACUUCAAGCCUGGAUUUAGGGAUAAGUACGUGACUAUUAGGUUCAUCAAAUGGGAGUCAAAGAAUCAGAAGACCCCGUACAAGCGGUACCUGGCCAGCUUUGGAGAUCUGCAAAAAUGAGCCAGAGGGUUCCUGUGCAUUCCCCAGAGAAACUGAAGCAGAAAUCAUUCCUUCCUCCUCAUCAUCCAUGUAUCAUCUGUGCCUCGAGGUGCUAGCAAUGAGUUGUGGUUCCCAAAAUUUCCAUGCCAUGGUGCACACAAAUGAAGAUGUAAGAUGUUCACCCAGCCCACGUGUCAGAGGACAGCAAGAAAGUGAAACAGGCCAGGGGAACACAAGGUGGCAAGGACCGCUACCCAGAAAUAGCCCAUGGCAGUGCAUUGGAAGGAACAGUUCCUUUUGAACUUACUUAAGAACGUAAUUUCAUUUCCAAACACUGAUUUUAAAUGAGAUAUUUAACUCUGGUAUGUUGGUUAGGAAAUCAAGAUUAAUUAUUAUGGUGGGGAUUUGACCAUGUUUCCAAACCAGCAAUUUUGCAUGGAAAAAUCUGACAAGAUUACAUUUUAUGAGAAUUUCCUUUUGGUAGAAAAAUGUCUUUCAUCUGGGACAUGCGUUGCUGAGAUGAGCCUUUAACUGAGGGAUGACAUGCAGAAGAUGUGUGAGCUGUGCAUUCACAUUUACCAAAACUGACGAUGCCUCUGGAGCCCCUUGGUGUAAGAGCAGCAAGGGGUCCCAGCACUUUGGCUGUUGUAGUGGUGUCAGCAAUGAGGAGGUAAGAAGUUGCUAGUUAGUAUUAUUUAUUAAUUGCAUUUUUGCUAAUGGUGAGCAUGCUGGAACUCGACCCUGUAUAUGAGACGGGUGGUCAAGAGCAAGCAAGGGGGAAAGAACAGACAGAGGUGGCAAACAGCAGAAGGAAUGAAAUAGCACUGACAUUGUCAUGGUUAUUCUGUCUUUAAUGUUGUACAUGGUCCCAGAAACCAAUGGAAACAGGGACAUGCCAUUCUGACUGCCAGCUGGAAUGGAUAACACCAUCAUUGUCCCUUCCCCUUUGGAGAGCAGAAGUGGGAAUGGGUGCAUGGAGAGCAACCCCUGUCCCACCGGUGGGCAAGAGAGCCUCAUGUGAAGUGGAUCUUAGAGCAGAAGUGGGGGAAAAUGUUUUCCUCAGGUUUUACAUCAGCAAAUGUCACAUCACCUAAUUCCCUUGCUGCCUCUGCACCUCCCCAGCCCCGGUCCCCCCUGGGGAGGCACAGACCUGCCUCGUUCCUCCGUGCAUGGCACUCAGAGCCCGGGGAUCUGGCUGCCAGUGGAGCUCCAGAACCAGGCUGGUGGCUGUCAGGAACAAUGGCAUUGUUGCCACUGGAAUAAACAUCCUGGUGGCUCAUUUGUGUUUAUCUGGUAUUCCCAUUCUCUGCUGAUUAACCCAGCCAAGCGAGGGCUUCAUGUGGUAAUUACAGCACAGCUCAUUUGUGUGUGUUUUACAAUGGUGUUGAUAUAAUCCCACUAGAGCACCCCAACCAUGUGCAAGGAGUUCCCACCAGAAAUCCAAAUAACGCCCCAGUGCUGCUGACAGCUUAAUAACAUGACAAAGUUCAGUCCCGCUGGAUGUCAGGGACAGGAAUGCGGCUCAGGCUGCUCUGACCUGGAGCUUUCCAAACACCGUACAGUUGAGGCUGAGCAUUUGACAAAUAACCUUUUCUUUGCCUGCUCAUAUCCAUCAGGCGUUACCAGGUGCCACGGAGAGGCCACAUGCCACUGUUAAAAUGUUAAAUUGAGUGGCACGGCCAUCAAAAGCUCUGGGGAGGGACAUUUAUCUUUAUUAUUAUUGUUAUUAAUAAUGCAGAUAUUGCUGCGCGUCGCAUUCCAAGGUAUUUUUGCAGCACUAAAUCAUCCAAAUGCCCAUUGACGGCCCUGAUAAAUCACACAAUAAACCAAAAUUCAAUACAGCUGUCAGCCCAGGCCCCGAGCAAAUCUCAGGGAGCUCAAUUGUAAAGUUGAGGCAGGGAUGGAGCCUGCGUGCAGCGGGACGGGCAGCAGCAUGGCACGCACUGCAGGCACUGGGAAAGGCUGCCUCGGCCAUCUGCUCCCGCUCCUCACGUCCAGCACUGACGCAAGCAGCAGGGUGGGGAUGGCUGCUCACGAUGGCACUUCUCAUUG
Molecule: long non-coding RNA, 3548 nt
Organism: Numida meleagris (helmeted guineafowl)
Lineage: Eukaryota; Metazoa; Chordata; Aves; Galliformes; Numididae
Exons: 3
Source: RefSeq, a predicted model, not a curated record